Corapipo altera (White-ruffed manakin) is the source of this 732-nucleotide long non-coding RNA. RefSeq lists it as uncharacterized. The transcript has 3 exons. The record is from RefSeq and is a predicted model, not a curated record. NCBI's taxonomy places the organism in Eukaryota, Metazoa, Chordata, Aves, Passeriformes, Pipridae.
AAAAAUAAACCAAGUCUUCCUCUCAACCUGUAAACACAAAAGCCCUUCAUUUUGGCUUUAUAUCUUUUAAAAGUCUAGUCUUUUCAGGUCGAUUUUUUCUUUUUUUUUUUUCUUUUUUUUUUCCCCAGAGUAACUGUGUUAUCCUGCAUAUGGAUGGAAUGCUACAGUCAUUAGGCUGUAGGAUAGAUUUCAAAUUUUUAAAGGUAGAGUGACCUUAGCAGAAAAAUAUCACCAGAAAUUACCUCCUGGAAAACAGGCUACACAGAACAAUUCCAGAACUGCUCAAAUGUGACUUGGAACAGGCUUCCUAAGGAAAUGGAACAGGCUGCCCAGGAAAUUGAUCACGGCACCAAGUCUGCCAGAGUUUAAGGAGCAUUUGGACAACACUCUAAACCACAUGGUGCGAUUCUUGGGGUUGUCCUGUGCAGAAUCAGGAGCUGGAGUUAGACAAUUUUUGUGGGUCCCUUCCAACUCAGGAUUUUCUAAGACUUGAGUUCUCUUUGUAAGGACUUUGAGGUGUGGAACAUCUCUUAUCUGACCAUGUGGUUCUCUGUAAACCACCUCUUCUAGACCAUCAUUGCUCUGAUUUAGUUUGCUUUUAGGUCUUUUUCUGGUUUGUACUGUGAUUUGUUACUGUGGUUUUAAGUCACAUUUCGUAAGCAUUCAAAAGAAUCUGAAUAGUGUGCUAAGAUUCAGAACUCAUACUUAAUUUAAUAAAGAAUAUACAUUAAA